UAAUACAGAGGGUGCAAGCGUUAAUCGGAAUUACUGGGCGUAAAGCGUGCGUAGACGGUUGCGUAAGUCAGAUGUGAAAGCCCCGGGCUCAACCUGGGAAUUGCAUUUGAGACUGCGUAGCUAGGGUGCGGAAGAGGGAAGCGGAAUUUCCGGUGUAGCGGUGAAAUGCGUAGAUAUCGGAAGGAACACCAGUGGCGAAAGCGGCUUCCUGGUCCAGCACCGACGUUCAGGCACGAA
Molecule: ribosomal RNA, 237 nt
Filed under: uncultured bacterium
Lineage: Bacteria
Description: partial 16S ribosomal RNA
Rfam family: Bacterial small subunit ribosomal RNA
Source: RNAcentral